GAUGAACGCUGGCGGCGUGCCUAAUACAUGCAAGUCGAGCGAACAGACGAGGAGCUUGCUCCUCUGACGUUAGCGGCGGACGGGUGAGUAACGCGUGGAUAACCUACCUAUAAGACUGGGAUAACUUCGGGAAACCGGAGCUAAUACCGGAUAAUAUAUUGAACCGCAUGGUUCAAUAGUGAAAGACGGUUUUGCUGUCACUUAUAGAUGGAUCCGCGCCGCAUUAGCUAGUUGGUAAGGUAACGGCUUACCAAGGCAACGAUGCGUAGCCGACCUGAGAGGGUGAUCGGCCACACUGGAACUGAGACACGGUCCAGACUCCUACGGGAGGCAGCAGUAGGGAAUCUUCCGCAAUGGGCGAAAGCCUGACGGAGCAACGCCACGUGAGUGAUGAAGGUCUUCGGAUCGUAAAACUCUGUUAUUAGGGAAGAACAAAUGUGUAAGUAAAUAUGCACGUCUUGACGGUACCUAAUCAGAAAGCCACGGCUAACUACGUG
Molecule: ribosomal RNA, 497 nt
Filed under: uncultured bacterium
Lineage: Bacteria
Description: partial 16S ribosomal RNA
Rfam family: Bacterial small subunit ribosomal RNA
Source: RNAcentral